RNAcentral lists this ribosomal RNA (365 nucleotides) under uncultured Synechococcus sp. Its description in RNAcentral is "bacterial SSU rRNA". It matches the Rfam family "Bacterial small subunit ribosomal RNA", at positions 355 to 735 of the family's 1533-position model. The record is from RNAcentral. Lineage: Bacteria; Bacillati; Cyanobacteriota; Cyanophyceae; Synechococcales; Synechococcaceae.
UGGGGAAUUUUCCGCAAUGGGCGAAAGCCUGACGGAGCAACGCCGCGUGAGGGAUGAAGGCCUCUGGGCUGUAAACCUCUUUUAUCAAGGAAGAAGAUCUGACGGUACUUGAUGAAUAAGCCACGGCUAAUUCCGUGCCAGCAGCCGCGGUAAUACGGGAGUGGCAAGCGUUAUCCGGAAUUAUUGGGCGUAAAGCGUCCGCAGGCGGCCCUUCAAGUCUGCUGUUAAAAAGUGGAGCUUAACUCCAUCAUGGCAGUGGAAACUGUUGGGCUUGAGUGUGGUAGGGGCAGAGGGAAUUCCCGGUGUAGCGGUGAAAUGCGUAGAUAUCGGGAAGAACACCAGUGGCGAAGGCGCUCUGCUGGGCC